Molecule: non-coding RNA, 117 nt
Organism: Aedes aegypti (yellow fever mosquito)
Lineage: Eukaryota; Metazoa; Arthropoda; Insecta; Diptera; Culicidae
Source: Rfam
UGCCCAGCAACUCCUAUCCCUACCUCCCCGUGGUACUGGCCGGGGUACGAGUAACCUUGGGGAAGAUCGGGUAACCAACCCCCGGUGGGAACUUUGGUCGUAUGCUGACAGGGAAGG